AUAUAAAGUAAAAUAUUACAUUUAAUUUCGGCUUAAAAGUUUGAUUAAUUUGUUAAUCUAUAUU
RNAcentral lists this transfer RNA (64 nucleotides) under Megacampsomeris sp. 1 YJY-2023a. RNAcentral describes it as "tRNA-Arg". The record is from RNAcentral. Lineage: Eukaryota; Metazoa; Arthropoda; Insecta; Hymenoptera; Scoliidae.